RNAcentral lists this ribosomal RNA (1378 nucleotides) under Lactiplantibacillus plantarum. Its description in RNAcentral is "bacterial SSU rRNA". It matches the Rfam family "Bacterial small subunit ribosomal RNA", at positions 98 to 1440 of the family's 1533-position model. Lineage: Bacteria; Bacillati; Bacillota; Bacilli; Lactobacillales; Lactobacillaceae. The record is from RNAcentral.
GCGAACUGGUGAGUAACACGUGGGAAACCUGCCCAGAAGCGGGGGAUAACACCUGGAAACAGAUGCUAAUACCGCAUAACAACUUGGACCGCAUGGUCCGAGUUUGAAAGAUGGCUUCGGCUAUCACUUUUGGAUGGUCCCGCGGCGUAUUAGCUAGAUGGUGGGGUAACGGCUCACCAUGGCAAUGAUACGUAGCCGACCUGAGAGGGUAAUCGGCCACAUUGGGACUGAGACACGGCCCAAACUCCUACGGGAGGCAGCAGUAGGGAAUCUUCCACAAUGGACGAAAGUCUGAUGGAGCAACGCCCGCGUGAGUGAAAGAAGGGUUUACGGCUCGUAAAACUCCUGUUGUUAAAGAAGAACAUAUCUGAGAGUAACUGUUCAGGUAUUGACCGGUAUUUAACCAGAAAGCCACGGCUAACUACGUGCCAGCAGCCGCGGUAAUACGUAGGUGGCAAGCGUUGUCCGGAUUUAUUGGGCGUAAAGCGAGCGCAGGCGGUUUUUUAAGUCUGAUGUGAAAGCCUUCGGCUCAACCGAAGAAGUGCAUCGGAAACUGGGAAACUUGAGUGCAGAAGAGGACAGUGGAACUCCAUGUGUAGCGGUGAAAUGCGUAGAUAUAUGGAAGAACACCAGUGGCGAAGGCGGCUGUCUGGUCUGUAACUGACGCUGAGGCUCGAAAGUAUGGGUAGCAAACAGGAUUAGAUACCCUGGUAGUCCAUACCGUAAACGAUGAAUGCUAAGUGUUUGGAGGGUUUCCGCCCUUCAGUGCUGCAGCUAACGCAUUAAGCAUUCCGCCUGGGGAGUACGGCCGCAAGGCUGAAACUCAAAGGAAUUGACGGGGGCCCGCACAAGCGGUGGAGCAUGUGGUUUAAUUCGAAGCUACGCGAAGAACCUUACCAGGUCUUGACAUACUAUGCAAAUCUAAGAGAUUAGACGUUCCCUUCGGGGACAUGGAUACAGGUGGUUGCAUGGUUGUCGUCAGCUCGUGUCGUGAGAUGUUGGGUUAAGUCCCGCAACGAGCGCAACCCUUAUUAUCAGUUGCCAGCAUUAAGUUGGGCACCUCUGGUGAGACUGCCGGUGACAAACCGGAGGAAGGUGGGGAUGAACGUCAAAUCAUCAUGCCCCUUAUGACCUGGGUCUACACCACGGUGCCUCACAAUUGGGAAUGUGGUACAACCAGCAGAUUGCGAACUCGCGAGAGUAAGCUAAUCUCUUAAAGCCAUUCUCAGUUCGGAUUGUAGGCUGCAACUCGCCUACAUGAAGUCGGAAUCGCUAGUAAUCGCGGAUCAGCAUGCCGCGGUGAAUACGUUCCCGGGCCUUGUACACACCGCCCGUCACACCAUGAGAGUUUGUAACACCCAAAGUCGGUGGGGUAACC